UACGUAGGGGGCAAGCGUUGUCCGGAUUUAUUGGGCGUAAAGAGCGUGUAGGCGGCCAGGUAGGUCUGGUGUGAAAACUCGAGGCUCAACCUCGAGAGGUCAUCGGAAACCAUUUGGCUAGAGUCCGGAAGAGGAGAGUGGAAUUCCCGGUGUAGCGGUGGAAUGCGCAGAUAUCGGGAAGAACACCUAUGGCGAAGGCAGCUCUCUGGGACGGUACUGACGCUGAGACGCGAAAGCGUGGGGAGCGAACAGG
RNAcentral lists this ribosomal RNA (253 nucleotides) under uncultured bacterium. RNAcentral describes it as "partial 16S ribosomal RNA". It matches the Rfam family "Bacterial small subunit ribosomal RNA", at positions 524 to 776 of the family's 1533-position model. The record is from RNAcentral.